AUUGAACGCUGGCGGAAUGCUUUACACAUGCAAGUCGAACGGCAGCACGGACUUCGGUCUGGUGGCGAGUGGCGAACGGGUGAGUAAUGUAUCGGAACGUGCCCAGUCGUGGGGGAUAACGUAGUGAAAAUUACGCUAAUACCGCAUACGAUCUAUGGAUGAAAGCGGGGGAUCGCAAGACCUCGCGCGAUUGGAGCGGCCGAUAUCAGAUUAGGUAGUUGGUGGGGUAAAGGCCCACCAAGCCAACGAUCUGUAGCUGGUCUGAGAGGACGACCAGCCACACUGGAACUGAGACACGGUCCAGGCUCCUACGGGAGGCAGCAGUGGGGAAUUUUGGACAAUGGGCGAAAGCCUGAUCCAGCCAUUCCGCGUGCAGGAUGAAGGCCCUCGGGUUGUAAACUGCUUUUGUACAGGACGAAAAGGUUUCUACUAAUACUAGGAGCUCAUGACGGUACUGUAAGAAUAAGCACCGGCUAACUACGUGCCAGCCGCCGCGGUAA
Molecule: ribosomal RNA, 500 nt
Filed under: uncultured bacterium
Lineage: Bacteria
Description: partial 16S ribosomal RNA
Rfam family: Bacterial small subunit ribosomal RNA
Source: RNAcentral